Molecule: non-coding RNA, 21 nt
Filed under: Caenorhabditis elegans
Lineage: Eukaryota; Metazoa; Nematoda; Chromadorea; Rhabditida; Rhabditidae
Source: RNAcentral
UGCAGAAUAUUAUUUAUAUAA